CACCAGCAGCAGCUUCAUCUGUCUCUUUGCUCUUCUUUUUCUUCUUCUUCUCACUCUUCUCUGCUGCUGAUACAUCUUCACCAUUAGCCGCAGCAGCUUCAUCUGCCUCCUUGCUCUUCUUUUUCUUCUUCUUCUCUGACUUUGGUGUAGCCAACUCUUCUUUAUCCUCCUCCUUGUCCUUCUUUUUCUUCUUCUCCUUUUUCUCAGACCCAGCUUCUUCUUCUUUCCCCUCCGCCUUGUCCUUCUUCUUCUUUGCCUUAACCUUCUCUUCAACCUCUCCUCCUUCGAGAUCUUUUGUUUUAGCUUUCUUCGUUGACACAGGGGCAGGGCUGUCACUGCUAUCAUCAUGCUUACGCUUGCGCACCUCUCCACUCACAGCCUCAACCUUUCCCUCGGGAGCGGCAGCAGCACCAGCAAUCAUAGCAUCACCACCAGUUGGCAAGACCACCACGUUCCUGCUCCACUCUAGAGGCGUUUUCUCAUUCGGCUUCCCAUGCUUAUCCAAUUUA
RNAcentral lists this long non-coding RNA (509 nucleotides) under Brassica rapa (field mustard). Its description in RNAcentral is "long non-coding RNA (BRAP_LNC001210)". Lineage: Eukaryota; Viridiplantae; Streptophyta; Magnoliopsida; Brassicales; Brassicaceae. The record is from RNAcentral.